RNAcentral lists this ribosomal RNA (93 nucleotides) under uncultured bacterium. RNAcentral's name for it is "partial 16S ribosomal RNA". The record is from RNAcentral.
UUGUAAAGCCCUUUUAGCGAGGAGGAAGGGAUUGAUGUUAAUAGCAUUAAUCUUUGACGUUACUCGCAGAAAAAGCACCGGCUAACUCUGUGC